Molecule: long non-coding RNA, 433 nt
Filed under: Sorghum bicolor (sorghum)
Lineage: Eukaryota; Viridiplantae; Streptophyta; Magnoliopsida; Poales; Poaceae
Description: long non-coding RNA (SBIC_LNC009266)
Source: RNAcentral
AAAAAUGAAUCUCGUCCUCGAGAUUCGGAAGAGCCUCAAAUCCUCUGAGAGAAACAGGAAAAUAUCUUGAUUAUCCUUUCAACUUCACAACUUGCACACCAAACUUACACACUUAUGCCUCAAGGUCACACCUCAUGAACAAAAUUUCCAUUGAAUAACUAUUAUUCGUAAUUGACCGAAGUCCAUCUUGACUACUAGUCCUCUUAGCUUACAACUCCAAGAGACAUAGAAACUUAAUAUGCAUUUGCUUCAUCAGGUAGGAGUGGACCACCGUGAUACUCAAUUCUUUUCCCUGACGGUGCUGUUAAGAGCAUUUUGUACUGGGUACCAUAGAUCUCUCCUUUGUGUGCACACAACCAUCCAUUACCAAGGACCAAGGGAAUACCAAGCGACUCUAGCACAAUGAGGUUUACAGUGAAGUUUUCCUUGUUUA